GCAAGUCGAGCGAACAGACGAGGAGCUUGCUCCUUUGACGUUAGCGGCGGACGGGUGAGUAACACGUAGGUAACCUACCUAUAAGACUGGGAUAACUUCGGGAAACCGGAGCUAAUACCGGAUAAUAUUUCGAACCGCAUGGUUCGAUAGUGAAAGAUGGCUUUGCUAUCACUUAUAGAUGGACCUGCGCCGUAUUAGCUAGUUGGUAAGGUAACGGCUUACCAAGGCAACGAUACGUAGCCGACCUGAGAGGGUGAUCGGCCACACUGGAACUGAGACACGGUCCAGACUCCUACGGGAGGCAGCAGUAGGGAAUCUUCCGCAAUGGGCGAAAGCCUGACGGAGCAACGCCGCGUGAGUGAUGAAGGUCUUCGGAUCGUAAAACUCUGUUAUUAGGGAAGAACAAACGUGUAAGUAACUGUGCACGUCUUGACGGUACCUAAUCAGAAAGCCACGGCUAACUACGUGCCAGCAGCCGCGGUAAUACGUAGGUGGCAAGCGUUAUCCGGAAUUAUUGGGCGUAAAGCGCGCGUAGGCGGUUUUUUAAGUCUGAUGUG
RNAcentral lists this ribosomal RNA (557 nucleotides) under Staphylococcus hominis. Its description in RNAcentral is "bacterial SSU rRNA". It matches the Rfam family "Bacterial small subunit ribosomal RNA", at positions 57 to 596 of the family's 1533-position model. Lineage: Bacteria; Bacillati; Bacillota; Bacilli; Caryophanales; Staphylococcaceae. The record is from RNAcentral.